Molecule: ribosomal RNA, 484 nt
Filed under: uncultured bacterium
Lineage: Bacteria
Description: partial 16S ribosomal RNA
Rfam family: Bacterial small subunit ribosomal RNA
Source: RNAcentral
AUUGAACGCUGGCGGCAGGCCUAACACAUGCCAGUCGAGCGGAUGAAGGGAGCUUGCUCCUGGAUUCAGCGGCGGACGGGUGAGUAAUGCCUAGGAAUCUGCCUGGUAGUGGGGGAUAACGUCCGGAAACGGGCGCUAAUACCGCAUACGUCCUGAGGGAGAAAGUGGGGGAUCUUCGGACCUCACGCUAUCAGAUGAGCCUAGGUCGGAUUAGCUAGUUGGUGGGGUAAAGGCGUACCAAGGCGACGAUCCGUAACUGGUCUGAGAGGAUGAUCAGUCACACUGGAACUGAGACACGGUCCAGACUCCUACGGGAGGCAGCAGUGGGGAAUAUUGGACAAUGGGCGAAAGCCUGAUCCAGCCAUGCCGCGUGUGUGAAGAAGGUCUUCGGAUUGUAAAGCACUUUAAGUUGGGAGGAAGAGCAGUAAGUUAAUACCUUGCUGUUUUGACGUUACCAACAGAAUAAGCACCGGCUAACUUCGUG